AAGGCAUACGGCUCAGUAACGCGUAGUCAACCUAACCUAUGGACGGGAAUAACCUCGGGAAACUGAGAAUAAUGCCCGAUAGAACAUUAUGCCUGGAAUGGUUUAUGUUCCAAAUGAUUUAUCGCCGUAGGAUGGGACUGCGGCCUAUCAGUUUGUUGGUGAGGUAAUGGCCCACCAAGACUAUUACAGGUACGGGCUCUGAGAGGAGUAGCCCGGAGAUGGGUACUGAGACACGGACCCAGGCCCUAUGGGGCGCAGCAGGCGAGAAAACUUUGCAAUGUGCGAAAGCACGACAAGGUUAAUCCGAGUGGUUUCUGCUAAAGAAACCUUUUGUCAGUCCUAGAAACACUGAUGAAUAAGGGGUGGGCAAGUUCUGGUGUCAGCCGCCGCGGUAAAACCAGCACCUCAAGUGGUCAGGAUGAUUAUUGGGCCUAAAGCAUCCGUAGCCGGCUCUGUAAGUUUUCGGUUAAAUCUGUACGCUCAACGUACAGGCU
RNAcentral lists this ribosomal RNA (494 nucleotides) under uncultured crenarchaeote. RNAcentral's name for it is "bacterial SSU rRNA". It matches the Rfam family "Archaeal small subunit ribosomal RNA", at positions 78 to 572 of the family's 1478-position model. The record is from RNAcentral. Lineage: Archaea; Thermoproteati; Thermoproteota.